This 533-nucleotide ribosomal RNA is filed under the name uncultured bacterium. RNAcentral's name for it is "bacterial SSU rRNA". It matches the Rfam family "Bacterial small subunit ribosomal RNA", at positions 364 to 912 of the family's 1533-position model. The record is from RNAcentral.
UUGCGCAUGGGCGCAAGCCUGACGCAGCGACGCCGCGUGGGGGAUGAAGGCCUUCGGGUCGUAAACCCCUUUCAGCAGGGACGAUAUUGACGGUACCUGCAGAAGAAGCGCCGGCCAACUACGUGCCAGCAGCCGCGGUAAUACGUAGGGCGCAAGCGUUGUCCGGAUUUAUUGGGCGUAAAGGGCUCGUAGGCGGUUUGGUAAGUCGGGUGUGAAAACUCCCGGCUCAACUCUGAGACGCCACUCGAUACUGCCAUGACUAGAGUCCGGUAGAGGAGUGUAGAAUUCCUGGUGUAGCGGUGAAAUGCGCAGAUAUCAGGAGGAAUACCGAUGGCGAAGGCAGCUCUCUGGGCCGGUACUGACGCUGAGGAGCGAAAGCGUGGGGAGCAAACAGGAUUAGAUACCCUGGUAGUCCACGCCGUAAACGUUGGGCACUAGGUGUGGGUCCCAUCCAACGGGAUCCGUGCCGUAGCUAACGCAUUAAGUGCCCCGCCUGGGGAGUACGGCCGCAAGGCUAAAACUCAAAGGGAUUG